Molecule: ribosomal RNA, 324 nt
Filed under: uncultured bacterium
Lineage: Bacteria
Description: bacterial SSU rRNA
Rfam family: Bacterial small subunit ribosomal RNA
Source: RNAcentral
GAUGAACGCUGGCGGCGUGCUUAACACAUGCAAGUCGAACGAAGCGCUUAAACGGAUUUCUUCGGAAUGAAGUUUUUGCGACUGAGUGGCGGACGGGUGAGUAACGCGUGGGUAACCUGCCUCAUACAGGGGGAUAACAGUUAGAAAUGACUGCUAAUACCGCAUAAGCGCACAGUGCUGCAUGGCACAGUGUGAAAAACUCCGGUGGUAUGAGAUGGACCCGCGUCUGAUUAGCUAGUUGGUGGGGCAACGGCCCACCAAGGCGACGAUGCGUAGCCGGCCUGAGAGGGCGGACGGCCACACUGGGACUGAGACACGGCCCAG